RNAcentral lists this ribosomal RNA (253 nucleotides) under uncultured bacterium. Its description in RNAcentral is "partial 16S ribosomal RNA". It matches the Rfam family "Bacterial small subunit ribosomal RNA", at positions 524 to 776 of the family's 1533-position model. The record is from RNAcentral.
UACAAAGGGGGCUAGCGUUGUUCGGAUUUACUGGGCGUAAAGCGCACGUAGGCGGAUCUUUAAGUCAGAGGUGAAAUCCCAAGGCUCAACCUUGGAACUGCCUUUGAUACUGGGGAUCUUGAGUCCGGGAGAGGUGAGUGGAACUGCGAGUGUAGAGGUGAAAUUCGUAGAUAUUCGCAAGAACACCAGUGGCGAAGGCGGCUCACUGGCCCGGUACUGACGCUGAGGUGCGAAAGCGUGGGGAGCAAACAGG